RNAcentral lists this ribosomal RNA (494 nucleotides) under uncultured bacterium. RNAcentral describes it as "partial 16S ribosomal RNA". It matches the Rfam family "Bacterial small subunit ribosomal RNA", at positions 28 to 507 of the family's 1533-position model. The record is from RNAcentral.
GACGAACGCUGGCGGCGUGCUUAACACAUGCAAGUCGAACGGUGAAGCGCCUUCCUUUUUGGUGGGUGUGGAUGAGUGGCGAACGGGUGAGUAACACGUGAGUAACCUGCCCCCUUCUUCUGGAUAACCGCAUGAAAGUGUGGCUAAUACGGGAUAUUCUGGGUCUGUCGCAUGAUGGGUCUGGGAAAGAUAUUGUUUCGGUGGGGGAUGGGCUCGCGGCCUAUCAGCUUGUUGGUGGGGUGAUGGCCUACCAAGGCGGUGACGGGUAGCCGGCCUGAGAGGGUGGACGGGCACACUGGGACGGAGACACGGCCCAGACUCCUACGGGAGGCAGCAGUGGGGAAUAUUGCACAAUGGGCGCAAGCCUGAUGCAGCGACGCCGCGGGAGGGAUGGAGGCCUUCGGGUUGUGAACCUCUUUCGCCAGUGAAGCAGGCCUGCCUCGUUUGUGGGUGGGUUGACGGUAGCUGGAUAAGAAGCGCCGGCUAACUACGUG